This 415-nucleotide long non-coding RNA is filed under the name Panax ginseng (ginseng). RNAcentral's name for it is "long non-coding RNA (PGIN_LNC011846)". The record is from RNAcentral. Lineage: Eukaryota; Viridiplantae; Streptophyta; Magnoliopsida; Apiales; Araliaceae.
UUUGAGUUGUCUAAUCUGGUAUACCACGAACAAGCUUCUCUAGUCAGACUCUUUUGGAACAGCUGCAUUCUGAGAUUCUCGUCCUCUGCAUAAGAUCCAAGUUCUCCAAUGAAUACCUUCUUUGUGUAAGAAUCUCUUAACCCGUCGUACUUUUCGAAGUCAGGAGUCUUGAACUUCUCUAGAUAAUGCAUACCAGGGAAUAUACAAAGGUCAGCAUAUGAGACACUCUCGUGUACUCCAAUUCCUUUGAUAGAACGAAGGGUUUCUUCCAUUUGAAGAACCUUCUUCUUGAUUGCACCAGUGUCUGGAUCUCCUUUGAGAUAGGUGUUUUCAGGGUUUUUGUCUGUAAUUUGAAAUUUCGAAUUUGUUUUAUCCGAACCUUAGGCUCCUCCCUGUGUAGAGGAUUCUGUAUGUG